Long non-coding RNA from Ailuropoda melanoleuca (giant panda), 740 nucleotides. RefSeq lists it as uncharacterized. The record is from RefSeq and is a predicted model, not a curated record. The transcript has 5 exons. NCBI's taxonomy places the organism in Eukaryota, Metazoa, Chordata, Mammalia, Carnivora, Ursidae.
CGAGACUCCGCGGGAAAAGCAUCUCUGCUAGAUGAAUGAGGAGCUGUCGGGCUGAGGCAGUUUCCUCAAGAGUGAAGGCGAGCGUGUGCUAAGGUCACGCCACCGACCUCCGUUUCCUUUACCCUUCUCUGUCACCAAACGAUAUUCCUGUCCAGUAACAAAGUGCAAGUUGUUUCCCUCAGACCCACUCCCAAGUUCAUGCCAAGGCCAUGAUUCCCAGGUGAUCCUUCCAGGCAGUGACUGCAUAUGGUGGGCAUUAUAAGCUGAGAUGGAGUAACAGAGACCAGACUGAACCUUCCCAGCUGAAACAACUAAAAAGACAAGACAAAAUACAUGAAAGAAUGGUUCUUGAGUCACUGAACAUCACACAGUGAAGGACAGUGAUGGCUGAGAGAUGAGAAACAAACAAGCUUACAAUCUGAAGGUGUCCGUUCCUACACUGGUCAGACCACUGUCCUUGGGGCAGCUGGGGUCUUUGGGACCCUCCACCGGGCUCGCCGGUCCGUCGGACUUUUGGCUGAGAUCCGUGUCAGACUCCUCCGAAUAGUCGUCUGUUGGCAUCGAGGGCUGAACCCCUGAGGUGCUGCAUGAACUUGAGAGCGCGCUCUCGCACGCCAGGCAGUGGUAUGAGCCGCCGCCACUACCGCCGCCACCGCCGCUGCCGCUGCCGCCGCCGCCCGUGGGGACGUGAAGCACCAUCUCUUGCAGGUUCACCACAGACUGGCCGAAGAAGCAGAGGG